This 329-nucleotide long non-coding RNA is filed under the name Nicotiana benthamiana. RNAcentral describes it as "long non-coding RNA (NBEN_LNC035533)". Lineage: Eukaryota; Viridiplantae; Streptophyta; Magnoliopsida; Solanales; Solanaceae. The record is from RNAcentral.
CCAAAGAGAAGUUCGAUUGUAAACCUAGGAAAAUCUCCUUCCUAUAAGGAAGUGGCACUUGCCCCACCAGGUACCAUCUCUAUGUUGCAGGAGAGAGUUUCUGAAAAUGAAGUUCCUGAUAAUCAAGAGGUUCUAAUAGUUGGAGAGGAGAGCAGUGGAGCAGAAGAAAAUUCUGAAACAAUGAGAAGAGAUGCUGUUCUAAUAGUUGGAGAGGAGAGGAGUGGAGCAGAAGAAAAUUCUGAAACAAUGGAAAAAGAUGUAGAAUCCAUAAAGGAAGAGAACAUUCAGGAUCUUGUUACAGAAUCUACUGAUCAAGUGCAAAAUGAAAC